Ixodes scapularis (black-legged tick) is the source of this 554-nucleotide non-coding RNA. The record is from Rfam. Lineage: Eukaryota; Metazoa; Arthropoda; Arachnida; Ixodida; Ixodidae.
AAGAAAAAAAAAAAAAAGAAAAAAAAAAAACAGAAAACGCAUACUAUCAACAUUAGGACAAUAAAUGCCGCUGAUGCCGGCCCGUUCCCCUGGCUCUGGCAAGCUAGAUAAUUUUCCUUUUCUUACCAAAUCGGCUUACACUCAAAAAUACUUUUGGCGAUUGCCCGAUUCAUUUAUUUCUCGAUCGGCUUUAAGUCUGCAAUGCUCACGCGGGUGCAGACGGGGAACUUUUAUUUUCCUUUGAUUUACAAUCCCCACCCCAAAUCUGUCCCUAUCUACUAUCUAGCGAAACCACAGCCAAGGGAACGGGCUUGGAAAAAUCAGCGGGGAAAGAAGACCCUGUUGAGCUUGACUCUAGUCUGACUCUGUGAAGAGACAUGAGAGGUGUAGCAUAAGUGGGAGGCCGUGAACCCUCGCGGUUGUGUCGUGCCGUCAGUGAAAUACCACUACUUUCAUCGUUUCUUUACUUACUCGGUGAAGCGGAAAGCGGACCAUGAGUGUCCACGCUUCUAGCACUAAGUGCAAGGCCCUUCGUGGCCCGCACGAUCUGUUCC